Molecule: long non-coding RNA, 2285 nt
Organism: Equus caballus (horse)
Lineage: Eukaryota; Metazoa; Chordata; Mammalia; Perissodactyla; Equidae
Source: Ensembl
GUGAGGGCUCUCUUCCUGGUUUGCAGACAUCUGCCUUCUUGCUAAGUCCCCAUAUGAUGGAGGUUGGAUAUACUGGAGAGGGAGAGAGAGUGAGAGCAAGCACACAGGCACUCUGGUCUCUUUUUGUCUUCUUAGGAUACUAACCCCAUGAUGGGGCCCAGCCCUCAUGACUUCAUCUAAACCUAGUUAUCUCCCAAAGGCCCCAUAUCCAAAUACCAUCACAUUGGGGGUUAGGGCUCCAUCAUAUGAAUUUGGGGGGGACACAAACAUUCAGUCCACAACAAAGAGGGUGAUGCUGAACUUCCAUUGCAGCCUCUAGCCCUACUGCAGAGUCCAUGGCUGUGGAUCCUUUCUUUCAUGAAUUUCCAACAGAAAAAAACAAAAGCCAGAAAAGCACACAAGAAUCAUGGAGAAGUGCUGUUCCUGAUAUACGUGGAAGGGAUUGGAGGAGAAUGAAUUCUAAAAGUGAGUGUUCUAAAUUCUAAAGUGGGCAUUGUGGUUCACCACCCAUUUACUAAACUAAUUCUUGUUCUGUGAACCGUGGAGUACCGCCACCUGUAGGAUACCUCACACCAAGUCAUUCCUCUUCCCUGAAGCACACUGCCUCCCACAACUGUGAGCAGGCGUAUCUCUUGCUAGGGCUUCCUAUUAGCUGAAGCCAGAGAGAAGAGAGAAGGCAUGGAAGCCCACUGACUACACGAUACAAGUCAGCACAUCGGAGGAGAGAGCGGGAAAAGAAGGAGACUGCAGGCCCAGGAGAGCUGAUGGUGUAUUCCAGUCCAAACCCAAACCCGAAGGCCUGAGAACCAGGAGCACUCUAUGGCAGAGGGCAAAGAUGGACGUUCCGGCUCAAGCAGAGAGCACAGUCAGCCUUCCUCUGCCGUUGGUUCCGUUCCGGCGCUCAGUGGAUUGGAUGAAGCCCACCUGCAUUGGGGAGCGCCAUCUUCUUUACUCAGUCUACUGAUUCAAAUGCUAAUCUCUUCCAGAAACACCCUCACACACACCCCAGACAUAAUGUUUUACCAGCUAUCUGGUCAUUCCUUACCUCAGUCAAAUUCAUACAUAAAACUAAGCAUCACACCUCCCCAAAAUCAAGACAAUGGAUGAUGUUUAUAACUGGGUAAAAUGGGAUUUGUAAUUCAGGUUAUUUCAUGUUCUUUGCUUUCCACAAAUCUGAAGCAUAACCUAAUCAACUUGCCAACGGAUUUAUAAUUAAUAAUUUUUGAUCAUAGACUAUUAUGUUACUUCAGCAUGUAAUUCUGAAGGAGUUCAAAGAAUUGUGUGACAUUGUUCAAGUAAAAUCCCUUUCAUUCCUAUGAAUUUAAUCAUAUAAACACAUUUCCAUUCUACUUCAAGUAAUAAAAUGAAAAAUAUCAGUAGGAUGGAUUGGAAACUGUCAUAGUCUAGCAAUAAUUCAUAUUUAUCCAUGGAUAAGUUCAGUAAUCAAAAAAUAGCUUUAUUAAUUUCAUUAAGAUAUGCAUUCUAGAAAGUGAAUUUUGUGUUAAAAUUACUUAUUAAAUUUGUAAUAUGUUUAUGCUGAGACAAAUUGUGUACUAAUAACAAUUAUAAUGCGACUCAAUCCAGAAGAAAAACAAUUUAAUAAAGUCCUAUACAACAAAAUAUAAAAUUGUAGUGUCUAUACAUAUUCAGUGACAGAAUUAAGAUGGGGUGUUCAAUAUAAGAGCUUUAAGCAUAGAACAAUAUUGUAUCAGCAUGUAAUUUAGGUGUGAAAGUGAAAUGGAAAUGUGAGUUCAAGAUGAAAAAAUAAAAAUAAAUGAUUUCUGAAUUUUAAAGAAGAACUUAUUCAUAUGUAUUUUAAAUGGUUUUGAUGAGGAUUUCAAAUUAUUAUGCUCAGGAAAAACAAAAAAAGGAAUGAUAACUCUCUCCUGCCAGGAUUGAUCCUGAGCUUUCCGACAGAGCACUGAAGUCUGGUAACGUCCAUCCGUUAACUGCAUUCCCUCUGUUGUCUCUGAUCAUCUAUGCCUGGAAAAGCUUCCACAGGAAGUUUGUCAAACCUUCUAAAAAUUUACCUGUUUUGUUUGUGUUUCUGAAAAGUUUUUAAGUUUUUUAAGUAAAGAUUAUUUCUUCACAAAAGUCUUAUUGAUUACUGUUGAGUUUGUUUUAUUUUCUUUUUAUUUUAUUUGUAUUGUGAGCAAAAUACUUUUACAUUACCGUUUUAAAAAGCCAGUUAUUUCUGAUAAUAUUAUAACCCUGUGGGAUAGAGCAAGCACAUGGUAUAAUCUGUCUUGCGUCUUGCUGAGUUCUCUCUGAAGUUUGGCUACUAU